GUUAAUUACAAACAUUUUCGUUUUAAUAAUCUCUUGGUAAAAGCCCAGCUUCUCAAAGCUCAUUUCUUCCACAAACCUAUUUCAUUUUGUUUCAAGCCGCCGCUCCUUUUCAUCCUUCAACAUAUUUUCUUUUGUUUCUCAUCCUUUCUCUCUCCUCAUUUUUUGGCACUCCUUCCUCUCUCUCCCCAAAAAUGGCGAUCCUCCACCUCAAAUCCAACUGUUUUGAAGAUCCGAGCAAAAAUGGCAAAAACACUAAGAAGAAAUCACCUUUCCCUAUCACCUCUUCUCUAACACAGAAGAAGAUUUGUUCAAAAAAUGGCGAGUUUUCGUCGAUUGGACUUGAUCUGUAAUUUGAAGUUGGAGAGGAAGGCAUUGAAGAGGCGUUGGGCGAGGCGCUGAAGAGGCGAUGGGCGAGGCGCUGAAGAGGCGAUGGGCGAGUGAUUGGUCAGGUUUCGUGAGAAAAGUAUAAUUACGUGUGUGGGAGCGACUUAGCCUGAGAAUGAAUUUUCAGUGCGGUAGGGUUUUUUCGAGAAUGGCGUUCUUCUGGAGAAUUUUUCAGGCUUUUUGGUUUACUGGAGAAAUUUUCAGAAUUUUUGGUUUCCUUGUGAUUUUGUUUCCUGAUUUGUAAUAAUUUUCAAUUGUAAUAAUGUGUAGUAUUUUCCUUCCUUAAUUUUCAUUUUCUUUCCUGA
This is a long non-coding RNA of Spinacia oleracea (spinach), 689 nucleotides long. RefSeq lists it as uncharacterized. The record is from RefSeq and is a predicted model, not a curated record. NCBI's taxonomy places the organism in Eukaryota, Viridiplantae, Streptophyta, Magnoliopsida, Caryophyllales, Amaranthaceae. The transcript is spliced from 3 exons.